Molecule: ribosomal RNA, 646 nt
Filed under: Sinularia sp. isolate 279
Lineage: Eukaryota; Metazoa; Cnidaria; Anthozoa; Malacalcyonacea; Sinulariidae
Description: partial 28S ribosomal RNA
Rfam family: Eukaryotic large subunit ribosomal RNA
Source: RNAcentral
AAACCGUUGAAAGGGAAGCGAAUGGAGUUAGCAAUUCGCCCUGCCAGAUUCAGUUGCUCGCGCUUCGCGACGAGCGCGCUCUCGAUCCGCAUGGACGAGACGUGCUCGGGUGCGACGUGUGGACGGCGCACUUCUGGCGGGCGAGCGUCAGCGUCGGUCGUCGACGGGCGAUAAGGUCGCAAGGAAGGUAGACGUGCCUUCGGGCGCGUUGUUAAUACUACUGGCGUCCUUAUUCCUCGACGGCCACGGUGCCUUCUUCUCGAGGACACGUGCGUGGGUGGGGAGUCGCGUGAUCGGGCCGGCGUGUGGACUCCGGCGGACAGCGCGCCUGUGCGCUCUAACUGUGGUCGGUGGCUCUCACGAUGCUCUCACACAAUGCGUCUAAAAUACUGACAACACUAUAGCUCCCUCCGACCCCCCUUGUGACACGGACAAAGGAGUCUAACAUGUGCGCACGUCUCUGGGGGAUAUAAACCCGCGGGCGCAAUGAAAGUAAAGAUCGUCCUAGACAAUUGAGGUGAGAAAAGCGCUCCUCGGGGCGCGCUGCGUCGUCGACCGACCUAUUCUGCUCUCAUAUAGGAUAGAGUAGAAGCGUAUCUGUUCUGACCCGACCGAUAGUGAACUAUGCCUGAAUAGGGUGAAGCCA